AACGCGAAGAACCUUACCAGGUCUUGACAUCCUCUGACACUCCUAGAGAUAGGACUUUCCCCUUCGGGGGACAGAGUGACAGGUGGUGCAUGGUUGUCGUCAGCUCGUGUCGUGAGAUGUUGGGUUAAGUCCCGCAACGAGCGCAACCCUUGUUCUGUGUUGCCAGCAUGCCCUUCGGGGUGAUGGGGACUCACAGGAGACUGCCGGGGUCAACUCGGAGGAAGGUGGGGACGACGUCAAAUCAUCAUGCCCCUUAUGUCUUGGGCUGCACACGUGCUACAAUGGCCGGUACAAAGGGCUGCGAUGCCGCGAGGCGGAGCGAAUCCCAAAAAGCCGGUCUCAGUUCGGAUUGGGGUCUGCAACUCGACCCCAUGAAGUUGGAGUUGCUAGUAAUCGCAGAUCAGCAUGCUGCGGUGAAUACGUUCCCGGGCCUUGUACACACCG
RNAcentral lists this ribosomal RNA (444 nucleotides) under uncultured bacterium. RNAcentral describes it as "bacterial SSU rRNA". It matches the Rfam family "Bacterial small subunit ribosomal RNA", at positions 958 to 1392 of the family's 1533-position model. The record is from RNAcentral.